This 175-nucleotide ribosomal RNA is filed under the name uncultured bacterium. RNAcentral describes it as "partial 16S ribosomal RNA". It matches the Rfam family "Bacterial small subunit ribosomal RNA", at positions 336 to 525 of the family's 1533-position model. The record is from RNAcentral.
CUCCUACGGGAGGCAGCAGUGGGGAAUAUUGGGCAAUGGGCGAAAGCCUGACCCAGCAACGCCGCGUGAAGGAAGAAGGCCUUCGGGUUGUAAACUUCUUUUACCAGGGACGAACACAAUGACGGUACCUGGAGAAAAAGCAACGACUAACUACGUGCCAGCAGCCGCGGUAAUA